AGCUCCAAUAGCGUAUAUUAAAGUUGUUGCAGUUAAAAAGCUCGUAGUUGGAUCUGAGGACUGGAGUCGGUGGUGCGAUAACAUCGCAACUGCUGACUCCGCCUACACAGACGGUGCUUGGCCCUGGUGCUCUUAACUGAGUGCCUUGGCUGCCCGUCAAGUUUACUUUGAAAAAAUUAGAGUGCUCAAAGCAGGCCAUUUGCUUGAAUAUUGGUGCAUGGAAUAAUGGAAUAGGACUUCGGUUCUAUUUUGUUGGUUUUCGGAAGCCGAGGUAAUGAUUAAGAGAGACAGACGGGGGCAUUCGUAUUGUGGUGUUAGAGGUGAAAUUCUUGGAUCGCCGCAAGACGAACAACUGCGAAAGCAUUUGCCAAGCAUGUUUUCA
RNAcentral lists this ribosomal RNA (382 nucleotides) under uncultured eukaryote. Its description in RNAcentral is "SSU rRNA". It matches the Rfam family "Eukaryotic small subunit ribosomal RNA", at positions 587 to 972 of the family's 1831-position model. The record is from RNAcentral.